This 484-nucleotide ribosomal RNA is filed under the name uncultured bacterium. Its description in RNAcentral is "partial 16S ribosomal RNA". It matches the Rfam family "Bacterial small subunit ribosomal RNA", at positions 28 to 507 of the family's 1533-position model. The record is from RNAcentral.
AUUGAACGCUGGCGGCAUGCUUUACACAUGCAAGUCGAACGGCAGCGCGGGCUUCGGCCUGGCGGCGAGUGGCGAACGGGUGAGUAAUGCAUCGGAACGUGCCCAGUAGUGGGGGAUAGCCCGGCGAAAGCCGGACUAAUACCGCAUACGACCUGAGGGUGAAAGCGGGGGACCGAAAGGCCUCGCGCUAUUGGAGCGGCCGAUGUCGGAUUAGCUAGUUGGUGGGGUAAAGGCUUACCAAGGCGACGAUCCGUAGCUGGUCUGAGAGGACGACCAGCCACACUGGGACUGAGACACGGCCCAGACUCCUACGGGAGGCAGCAGUGGGGAAUUUUGGACAAUGGGGGUAACCCUGAUCCAGCCAUGCCGCGUGCGGGAAGAAGGCCUUCGGGUUGUAAACCGCUUUUGUUCGGGAAGAAAUCCUCUGGGCUAAUACCCCGGGGGGAUGACGGUACCGGAAGAAUAAGCACCGGCUAACUACGUG